This is a long non-coding RNA of Entelurus aequoreus (snake pipefish), 1367 nucleotides long. RefSeq lists it as uncharacterized. NCBI's taxonomy places the organism in Eukaryota, Metazoa, Chordata, Actinopteri, Syngnathiformes, Syngnathidae. The transcript has 6 exons. The record is from RefSeq and is a predicted model, not a curated record.
AUAUGCGGUCCUCUCCAAGGUUUCUCAUAGUCAUUCACAUUGACGUCCCACUGGGGCAGCUUCCUGUAAAUGUGACAUUGCCAAGACAGAAUAUUUGUCUUCUUAGUCCAAUCGCACAGAAAAGGACUGGAGGACAAUUCAAAGAAGAACAGACGGACAAAAUGAGGCGAGACAAGCUGCAGGAGGCCACCUGUGUCACCCCCUUGCAGAGGGUCAUAGUGGGGGAGGUGAAAAUUAAAACACACAGGCGGCGUCUUGCACCUCAGCCCAGGACGGACACCCCCCCAGCCCCUUUAUCCCUUGGUCUCAGUGGGAUCGGUGACCUGUGUGUGCGUGUGUGUGUGUGUGUGUGUGUGUGUGUGUGUGUGUGUGUGUGUGUGUGUGUGUGUGUGUGUGUGUGUGUGUGCGUGCGUCCACACCCCUGAGAAAUCCCUCCCCCAAACUUCACACACAGACACAGGUGAGUCACAGGUGUAGUUGCUGUCGCUGCAUAUCUGAAGUGUGUAAUCACUUGGGUGGAGGGGCCGGGGAGCGCCAUGUGCAAGAAAACCACCGCCCAUACGGCACAUUCUUGAAAACUAAACCUCUGGGGUGGCUUUUUGCUUCUGCUCCAUGUCACAAAAGAAAGAGAAAAAAAAGAUACUUUUUAGCUACUGAUAAUGUGGUGGUUCACUCGGCUGACUUCUGUGCUUCCAGUGUGGGCUCACUCCCACUCGGUGAUGGUGUGAAUUCUUAUCUGUCUCGAUAUGUGCCCUGUGAUUGACAGCUGACAAGUCUGCCUUUUGCCCCAAGAUUUCUGGGAUCGGCUCAGACUUCACUGGAGAGGAUAAGUGGUUUGAGGGCGACAGAUCGGACCAGGCCACGCAGGCGGUACUGUUACUGCCUGACGAGCGGACCUCCCCAACCCCCCCUAAAAGGCUCCCAGGGAAGAGGAGGUUCCAGGUCCGACAUGGCUGUCAAAGUGUACCAACUUUUCAGAAUACCUACUCAGACUUCCUCUGUCCAGAGGGAUCACAAUGGCAGCGCUAUCAAAGAACUGCAGAACUGGCAGACAGCCUUUGGUGACCUCAACAACAAGGCUGUGGAUUGAUUCACACUGGUUUUCGCCUUUUGAAGGGUACAGGAAAAACUGGAAAAUGUAUCUUGAAAGUCCUUAAAAAGUGCUUGAAUUUGGCCAUCGAAAAGGUGUAUGAACCCUGUAUCUUAUUAGAGGCUGUACAAAAUGUAAGAAAAACAUGCUGCAAUUAUCAGACAAAUGUUUAUUUUUAUGUAUUGUGAGUAUUUUGUGAUUCAAAUGUUUUGGAGGAUUUUUGUUGCUUCCAGACUUGAGUGUUUUGUAAGGCCAAAAAUCGCCCACAUGCCAUAAA